RNAcentral lists this ribosomal RNA (425 nucleotides) under uncultured bacterium. RNAcentral describes it as "bacterial SSU rRNA". It matches the Rfam family "Bacterial small subunit ribosomal RNA", at positions 355 to 776 of the family's 1533-position model. The record is from RNAcentral.
UCGAGAAUAUUUAGCAAUGGACGAAAGUCUGACUAUGCGACGCCGCGUGAGGGAUGAAGGAUUUCGGUUCGUAAACCUCUUUCGAUGAGGACGAAACUCCUCCUGGUAACAGGAGUGAUGACGGUAUUCAGAGAAGAAGCCACGGCUAACUCCGUGCCAGCAGCCGCGGUAAUACGGGGGUGGCGAGCGUUGUUCGGAAUUAUUGGGCGUAAAGAGCGUGUAGGCGGCUGAAUAAGUCAGAUGUGAAAGCCCUGGGCUCAACCCAGGAAGUGCAUUUGAUACUGUUCGGCUAGAGUAGGGGAGAGGGAAGUGGAAUUCCUGGUGUAGAGGUGAAAUUCGUAGAUAUCAGGAGGAACACCGGUGGCGAAGGCGACUUCCUGGCCCUAUACUGACGCUGAGACGCGAGAGCGUGGGGAGCAAACAGG